Molecule: ribosomal RNA, 253 nt
Filed under: uncultured bacterium
Lineage: Bacteria
Description: partial 16S ribosomal RNA
Rfam family: Bacterial small subunit ribosomal RNA
Source: RNAcentral
GACAGAGGGGGCAAGCGUUGCUCGGAAUCACUGGGCGUAAAGGGCGCGUAGGCGGGAUGGCAAGUCAGUCGUGAAAUCUCUCGGCUCAACCGAGAAACGUCGGCUGAUACUGCCGUUCUUGAGGGAUGCAGAGGAGACUGGAAUUCCCGGUGUAGCGGUGAAAUGCGCAGAUAUCAGGAAGAACACCCGUGGCGAAGGCGGCUCUCUGGAACGCAACUGACGCUGAGACGCGAAAGCGUGGGGAGCAAACAGG